AGAAAUGCAGCCAAACUAAAACGAGUUAGAAAUAGUACAUGGAUUGGUUUUAAUGAAGACCAAGAAGACUUGUAUGAGGGGAAAGAGAUGCACAGAAUUACAGAUGACUACAAAAAAAUCUCACAGGACAACCAUCCUCUGUCCCCACA
Hippopotamus amphibius kiboko is the source of this 149-nucleotide long non-coding RNA. RefSeq lists it as uncharacterized. The record is from RefSeq and is a predicted model, not a curated record. The transcript has 4 exons. NCBI's taxonomy places the organism in Eukaryota, Metazoa, Chordata, Mammalia, Artiodactyla, Hippopotamidae.